This 497-nucleotide ribosomal RNA is filed under the name uncultured bacterium. RNAcentral's name for it is "partial 16S ribosomal RNA". It matches the Rfam family "Bacterial small subunit ribosomal RNA", at positions 28 to 507 of the family's 1533-position model. The record is from RNAcentral.
GAUGAACGCUGGCGGCGUGCCUAAUACAUGCAAGUCGAGCGAACAGACGAGGAGCUUGCUCCUCUGACGUUAGCGGCGGACGGGUGAGUAACACGUGGAUAACCUACCUAUAAGACUGGGAUAACUUCGGGAAACCGGAGCUACUACCGGAUAAUAUAUUGAACCGCAUGGUUCAAUAGUGAAAGACGGUUUUGCUGUCACUUAUAGAUGGAUCCGCGCCGCAUUAGCUAGUUGGUAAGGUAACGGCUUACCAAGGCAACGAUGCGUAGCCGACCUGAGAGGGUGAUCGGCCACACUGGAACUGAGACACGGUCCAGACUCCUACGGGAGGCAGCAGUAGGGAAUCUUCCGCAAUGGGCGAAAGCCUGACGGAGCAACGCCGCGUGAGUGAUGAAGGUCUUCGGAUCGUAAAGCUCUGUUAUUAGGGAAGAACAAAUGUGUAAGUAACUAUGCCCGUCUUGACGGUACCUAAUCAGAAAGCCACGGCUAACUACGUG